CUACGUGCCAGCAGCCGCGGUAAUACGGAAGGUCCAGGCGUUAUCCGGAUUUAUUGGGUUUAAAGGGAGCGUAGGCUGGAGAUUAAGUGUGUUGUGAAAUGUAGACGCUCAACGUCUGAAUUGCAGCGCAUACUGGUUUCCUUGAGUACGCACAACGUUGGCGGAAUUCGUCGUGUAGCGGUGAAAUGCUUAGAUAUGACGAAGAACUCCGAUUGCGAAGGCAGCUGACGGGAGCGCAACUGACGCUUAAGCUCGAAGGUGCGGGUAUCGAACAGGAUUAGAUACCCUGGUAGUCCGCACAGUAAACGAUGGAUGCCCGCUGUUGGUACCUGGUAUCAGCGGCUAAGCGAAAGCAUUAAGCAUCCCACCUGGGGAGUACGCCGGCAACGGUGAAACUCAAAGGAAUUGACGGGGGCCCGCACAAGCGGAGGAACAUGUGGUUUAAUUCGAUGAUACGCGAGGAACCUUACCCGGGAU
This 477-nucleotide ribosomal RNA is filed under the name uncultured bacterium. Its description in RNAcentral is "bacterial SSU rRNA". It matches the Rfam family "Bacterial small subunit ribosomal RNA", at positions 501 to 981 of the family's 1533-position model. The record is from RNAcentral.